GGCCCCAUGGUCAAGAGGUUAAGACACGGCCCUUUCACGGCUGUAACGGGGGUUCGAUUCCCCCUGGGGUCACCA
RNAcentral lists this transfer RNA (75 nucleotides) under Clostridiaceae bacterium. RNAcentral describes it as "tRNA-Glu". It matches the Rfam family "tRNA". From Rfam's summary of the family: Transfer RNA (tRNA) molecules are approximately 80 nucleotides in length. Their secondary structure includes four short double-helical elements and three loops (D, anti-codon, and T loops). Further hydrogen bonds mediate the characteristic L-shaped molecular structure. tRNAs have two regions of fundamental functional importance: the anti-codon, which is responsible for specific mRNA codon recognition, and the 3' end, to which the tRNAs corresponding amino acid is attached (by aminoacyl-tRNA synthetases). tRNAs cope with the degeneracy of the genetic code in two manners: having more than one tRNA (with a specific anti-codon) for a particular amino acid; and 'wobble' base-pairing, i.e. permitting non-standard base-pairing at the 3rd anti-codon position. Lineage: Bacteria; Bacillati; Bacillota; Clostridia; Eubacteriales; Clostridiaceae. The record is from RNAcentral.